Molecule: ribosomal RNA, 500 nt
Filed under: uncultured bacterium
Lineage: Bacteria
Description: partial 16S ribosomal RNA
Rfam family: Bacterial small subunit ribosomal RNA
Source: RNAcentral
AUUGAACGCUGGCGGCAUGCUUUACACAUGCAAGUCGAACGGUAACAGGGUGCUUGCACCGCUGACGAGUGGCGAACGGGUGAGUAAUGCGUCGGAACGUGCCGAGUAGUGGGGGAUAACGCAGCGAAAGUUGUGCUAAUACCGCAUACGUACUGAGGUAGAAAGUGGGGGGCCUUCGGGCCUCACGCUAUUCGAGCGGCCGACGUCUGAUUAGCUAGUAGGUGGGGUAAAGGCUCACCUAGGCGACGAUCAGUAGCGGGUCUGAGAGGAUGAUCCGCCACACUGGGACUGAGACACGGCCCAGACUCCUACGGGAGGCAGCAGUGGGGAAUUUUGGACAAUGGGCGAAAGCCUGAUCCAGCCAUGCCGCGUGUCUGAAGAAGGCCUUCGGGUUGUAAAGGACUUUUGUCAGGGAGGAAAUCCCUAGUGCUAAUAACACUGGGGGAUGACAGUACCUGAAGAAUAAGCACCGGCUAACUACGUGCCAGCAGCCGCGGUAA